GGAGUUUGGGCCGUGUCUCAGUCCCAAUGUGGCCGUUCACUCUCUCAAGCCGGCUACUGAUCGUCGCCUUGGUGAGCCGUUACCUCACCAACUAGCUAAUCAGACGCGGGUCCAUCCCAUAGCGCUAAAGCUUUCAAUACAGAAGCAUGCGGAUCUGUAUUACUAUGCGGUAUUAGCAGUCGUUUCCAACUGUUGUCCCCCUCUAUGGGGCAGGUUACCCACGCGUUACUCACCCGUCCGCCACUAGAAUUUCUCUGAAUCCAUCGAAACUUCAUCAAAGAGUUCCCGUUCGACUUGCAUGUGUUAGGCACGCCGCCAGCGUUCAUC
Molecule: ribosomal RNA, 327 nt
Filed under: uncultured Lachnospiraceae bacterium
Lineage: Bacteria; Bacillati; Bacillota; Clostridia; Lachnospirales; Lachnospiraceae
Description: partial 16S ribosomal RNA
Source: RNAcentral